CCUAAUCAGUGAACAGGAUGUGGGACGCAGUGCUGUCUUUAAUGAUGCAGAAACAUCAGAUUCAUGCCUGUUGUUUGCUCUGGUGCUGGGACGACUAAUUGAGACCUGGAGAACAUACAGUAACAGAUGGAACCAUGGGUUCAGUUCUCGAGCAGAAAAUACUGAAGGAGAAUAUCCAGCCACCAGUUUGUGCUCUUUAAGCUCAAGCACAUUCUUUGGCUCAAUAGGUUCCCACCUGGAUGAUUGUUCAAAUGAAACUGAGAAGGUGGGCGAUGCCGCAGGAUUUAGAGAAAAAGAAGAGCACCCAAAAGAAGAAAGCCACGGGUUGUCUUUUCAUCUCAAGCAUUCGGUUUAAUGUGAAUGUCAGGAGCUAACUGGAUACAAAAGGCACUGAAUUAGGCUGAUUGGGAUCAAACAUUAUGAAGGAGAAUAGUAAUAUAUAAUUAGACUGGCUAUAAUUUCUCUCUCUCUCUUUGUUCUUUGAUUGUGACAUUGGAGACUUGUGAUUAAUUCGUUUAAUCUAAUAGGAGAAAUGAAGAAAAGACUUGAAUAUAAUCAAAGAAUGCAUGACCUUUAAUUUGCACAAUAAAUGAUGUGGAUAUCUUACUUGUUAACAACAG
Girardinichthys multiradiatus is the source of this 620-nucleotide long non-coding RNA. RefSeq lists it as uncharacterized. Lineage: Eukaryota; Metazoa; Chordata; Actinopteri; Cyprinodontiformes; Goodeidae. The record is from RefSeq and is a predicted model, not a curated record. The transcript has 3 exons.